UCGGGCUGGGCCGGGUCGGCCUCGCCCUGGCCGAGCGGGCGAGAGCCCUGGGCAUGACCGUCCUGGGUCACUCCAGGGGCCCGGCC
This 86-nucleotide transfer RNA is filed under the name Kitasatospora indigofera. Its description in RNAcentral is "tRNA-Ala". The record is from RNAcentral. Lineage: Bacteria; Bacillati; Actinomycetota; Actinomycetes; Kitasatosporales; Streptomycetaceae.